ACUUAAGUUCAGAGAGGUUCAAUUCUCUACCCAAAUAGGUGCAGUUAAUUAGCUGCAGGUGCUGGAAUAUAAAUACCGUUUUAGUCCAUAUGCUAUUAUUUGUUGAAUUCCAAACUCCAAACCUCAGAUGUGCUGGAAGUGUUCAUCUAAAGCUUUGCUGGGAUCAUACCUUCCCUUUUUAAUAUUCCAAAGCUCUGUGCUUUCCGAUGAUUACAGUGAAGUUGUUAUUAAAAAGAUCCAGGUGUUUAAUCAGGACCUCAUUCCUCUUAACUCAGGUGUGUGGUUCAGGUAUAGGUUAUUAAUGUGUUUCAUAAACAAUAAUGAGAGAAAAUAUUUGACUUAGAGGUGAUUUAGAAACUGCUGUCCCAUAUAGAUCUACUUUAAGCUUGGUAUACUUUGUAAAGUUUGAGGGGUACAUCAUAUAAUUUGAAACAUUACAGGGGCAGCUUUCCUCCUGAGAUAAAAAUUUGACUGUUAGGAAAUUGCCUAAGGUGAUGAGGAAGCACUGUUGUGAUUAAGCAAUUUGACUUUUGAGAAAUUAAGUCCAGGUUUGGACAGGCCAAAGAACAACUUAGGAAUCUUGUGUAAGUUCUCUUUUUUCACAGCAAUGGGUGAAAAUAUACACAGGAGCAUAACUACUUAUCCUGUGGUGGCUGACUGGACUGCAGUGAGGUAUCCAUACCCAGCCUCGGACCCUUAACCCCACUCUUCCCUCUGCCCCAACUUCUUAUAUGAACAUACAGAGAAAAGUGGCAAGCCAUUUCAUAACAGGGUCAUAGGCAGCUAGCCAAACAGGUGGACCUGUGGAUUACCACGACAGCGGUUGCCACAGAGGCACAGAGAUCUGGGAGCAUGGAGAUAAAGGGGCAAGGGCAUAAAGCAUGGAAACUUAGGAAAUACCAUCUUCCCAAGUUUAUUUCUGCAACACUCCACCUCUUCUAGUUUCCUGGUCUCACAAUUCUUUUUUUAUUUUAUUUUUAUUUUUUUAUUUUUAUUUAUUUAUUUAUUUAUUUAUUUUUGACAGGCAGAGUGGACAGUGAGAGAGACAGAGAAAAAGGUCUUCCUUUGCCGUUGGUUCACCCUCCAAUGGCCGCCGCGGCUGGCGCGCUGCGGCCGGCGCACCGCGCUGAUCCGAUGGCAGGAACCAGGAGCCAGGUGCUUUUCCUGGUCUCCCAUGGGGUGCAGGGCCCAAGCACCUGGGCCAUCCUCCACUGCACUCCCUGGCCACAGCAGAGAGCUGGCCUGGAAGAGGGGCAACUGGGACAGAAUCCGGCGCCCCGACCGGGACUAGAACCUGGUGUGCCGGCGCCGCUAGGUGGAGGAUUAGCCUAGUGAGCCGCGGCGCCAGCCUCACAAUUCUUUAUGUACAUUGUCUUCAGUCAAGGGCCCUAUGUAAGGAGCACACAUGGAAUGUGGAACCAAUGACCACAACAGCAAUGCAAGCUAUAGCAACAAAUGACAAGUGAACAUGCAAUACAGUAACAAUCAGGAUUGUACCAUCAGCUUGUAAGGGACAUCCACACAUCUCAUAGGGAACCUCCAGUCAGUUGUUCAAUGUGCAGUGUUUUUCACAUUAAAGCAGCAAGGCCUUGGGUAAAAUUUAAUGAAUGUCAUGAAAAAUACACAACAUUCAGUCUUUAGCAUGGCACACAUACCAACUUCAGCUGCUGUAAAGAGUAUCUAAUGCCAUGCAGUCUUGCAAAACGAUCUUUUUCCUUGUUUUUUAAUUUGUUUGUUUGUUUAUUUGGAGCGAGGAAAGAUUUGUCAGAAAUCUCCUUCCCCAGAAGCCUUAGGGGGGCUCUAAGGGAGGAAGACCCCAGACACUGAUUGAAGUGGAGUCUUUUAAUCACAAUUCAGGGAAUAAUAAUCAGAGACAUCCCAUCAGAAGCCUGGAGUUAUAAUCCUGUCUAGCCUGCUCAUGAUAAAACAAAACAAAAAAAAACAUCAGAAGGGUGGGAUAGGUAACUGCUUUCUUUUCUCAUGAUCUGGAGUACUGCCUGAAGUUUGAUGCCUUCUACUUGUUUAGUCCUGGAUAACACAAAGCUUGUAAUACAGUUACAGGCAUAUAUUGAAGACUGGAGGACAGAAUAGUCUUAAAUAGGUCUGCAGAGAAACUUCUAUAAUUUACCCAGUAAGAAAAUGUGGACUCUGAGAGCAGCCAGGGUGCCCAUGUUUCUCAGUGUAGCAAAAAGCUUAAAUGUGAGAUCAGAAAAUAUGGCCCUGCAGGAAGUCUGGUUGUUGGUUAGAAGUUAACAAACAAAAAAAGGCAGUGGUUAAAACCCUGUUAUGACAAUGAUGAGUUCUUGCACAUGUCUUUUUCAAAAUGGUGACUAAGGAGGUAGGGAGAAUGAGACACAUGGCAACCUUUUUUUAGGGAGGGCUGCCUGAGACCAGUUGUUGGACCUUGACUGCUGAACCAAUGCAAUACCCUCAUUCCCCCCUACCCCAACACACAUACACAUACACACACACACACACACACACUUCCUGACAAUUGAGAUGAAACAGAGGGGGGUAGAUCAAUCAAGCCAAAGCCGGGAGAGAGAUUGAGGGAGAGUAAGUUGGCCUAGGCCUCUUUUUAGAUACUCUUCCAGCCAAGAGACUUUGGCUGGAAGAGAGAUUUUGUCUUAACUCAAGACAGAAUUUAGAUGUGAGACAGAGUAGCAACACAGCAGGAACACAGUAGGAACACAGCAGGUAUGGGCACCACUGCCUCAUUAAUGAGGUGGAGAUCCUGUACCAAUCUCCAUUCUCCGUUUGGCUUUUGAAUUGGAAUGUUGGCAGGGACUAUUGCAUGGCUUUAAAUGUUCCUGGACUUUGAGAUUGUCUAUUAUGGCUUAAUGCUUUCCAAGUCUAAGGCUUUAGUGGAUAUCAUCUCUGAUAAAGAAAGGAGGACAGGUCUUUAAGAUGAAGCUAGACAGGCUGAGCAGUUAUAGCCUGACCAACUUUUCUCUGGACACUCCAAACUUCUGGAUUGAUGCCUAUCUCUGUUAGAUGGAGGCAGAAAGUCUCUCCUGGUCCUAUAAGAACCGUGGGCCAGGUUAUCUCUACCUAGAAAAGGUGCUGGGCUCUCUGGUGUGAUCAAAAAGGAGUGAGUAAAUAUUAGAUCAUUCCAGACACAGCUCAAAGAUUGGGUGAAGUAUCUAACUUGGGGUCUCCUGAGACACCCUUUAUGAUUACCAUCUAAGAGAGGGGUCCAAAGCUAGAGCAAAGGACAGACAAAGUUGCUCCAAUAUCCAAAGGAAAUUUAUAGAAAUUUAUAAGAACCACACAGGGCUCCUGGGUUCUGAUCUGACGUGUCACCAGAGCCUGUAAGGAGAGAUCUGGUAUCCUUCAUUUCCAUGCAGGAGUUCUAUCGAAAUGCCUAACUCAGAGUUCUUGGAUGUUAGAAAAAGAGUUGCAGAUUGGCACCUCCUCACCCAGGGCACCAGAAUGUUAGGAAAAGAGUCACAGAAUAGAGAGGAGGUAGUGUAUAAAUUUACAGCUAGACCGAAUUAUUUAGAGAAAAUAAAUCCAUAGAGGUGGGUGACCAGCUGCUUGCAUGUACAGGAUGGAGCAUGUGGCAGAAGGGCUGGUGGUGGAGGUAGGGGACAGCAGGUGUAGGGGAAUUCAGGAACUGGGCGAGGCCUUGGGAACCUGGAAAGAAUGCAGGGUGGGGUAUGAAGGCAAUAGGGUGUGAGACCCAGUUGAGUUUCAAGAGCAAGGAAUACAUUCCAAAGUUUAUCUCUUUUGGGCAAGGGGGGAGAAUGGCUGAGCCGUUUGUCCUAGUUCCAUCAUUGAUCUUUGGGGAAAACAACCUUUCUUACUUGAUACAGUUCCUCAUUCAAGAGACCCAAGGCCUUGUUACUUGUAUUAAAGGCCAGGGUUUAUGCAGUUUCAAUGCAAUAACCUCCGCUCGUGUGACCAUAGUAGCUACAUGUUGGGAGAGUAGGACAACUGGAUAAUACCACCAUGCUGUGUGUUUUACUCAGUGCUGAGCCUUGAAGGUAUCUGAGUUGAAAGGCAAGUUGGGAAGUAUGGGGACCCACUUCCCAGGUAAAUAGGGCCAUCUCCACAAAUAGCAUUCUACCCAGAUAUUAGGCCAACCAUAAGAUCCAUCCACAAGUACAUAAGGCACCUGAAAACACAGGAUGAGCUUUAACUUUAACAUUAGGAUCUUGCUUUCCCCAUUUGGUAUCUUUAGAUGUGUACUAUGUAGUCUUACACAAAGAUGCAGGUGUCCAUCCCAUUUGGAACCCAUUCCUUGUUUGUUCUGUGCAUUUUGGCACACUUGAGAGGAAUUCUAUUUCCUUUUCAGAAAGCCAACUCACAUCAUCCCAUACAGGAUACCCCAACCCUGCCUGGGUUUUUCACUGCUUCCAAAACUAAAAUCUUCACAUGAGGCCAGAUAUGGUUUUACAGUGGGUCAGAAGAACUCCAGCUUUCUAUUGAAAUCCAGUUGUGGUCAGUGGUUGUAGUUGAAUUCCAAGGCAGUCCAGUUGCAGAGCUGGCUGGUAGCUUGGUACAUGCUCAACAAGCUGUGGUUACUGUUGUUCAUGGUAUUUGUAGCCACCAGGCUAAGGGGGUAAGACAAAGUGGUUAUUGGUAUCAUCAAUGGCAAAUCCUGGCCAUCAAGUAAAACCCAAGCAAGUGAUUUAUCUUGAGAUAAUACUGUAGCUGGCGAAAGUAUUUGCCCUGGUCUCUUAUACCAGACUUCCCGGGGCAUAGCCUUUUCUGAGUACUCUUCUACAAGUAGGGGUACUAGAGAUGUUAGCAUUCUCCAUAAAACUGAAACAGAUAUACCCUUGAGCAAGGUAGUGGCCCCUUCCAUGUGUGUAAAAUGUACCUUGACCAUAGGGAGCCAAGUGGCUGUCACCCACAGUGUUACCUCCAGGUCAUACUCCAGUCCUACUCCUCACUGUGAUAGCAAAGCUAUCCAGGCACUAUUUGCUUUCCCUAUCUUCCAUGGCCGCUGCCAGGUGGCAUGCUCCCCUGGCUCAAGGCCGAGUGGUUUGUACCUUCAUUUGGAUGGGUGCUGUUGAUUAAUACAGCAAAACCUCCACCGGAACCAAUGCUGCUGCCCAAGGCCUUUCAUUCAAGAACUGUAACACAGUCUGUGUUGCUCCAUCCAAUUAUAGAGCCUUUUCUGAGGCCUUGCUUUACUAGACCAUUAUGUUACUCAGUUGUUGCAGCUGCCUAGGAAUGGUAUGGUGUAAUCCAAUACCUAGGCAGUUAGCCCAGUCUUACACUCCAGAGCCUGUAAAAUGGGUCCCAUGGUCACUUUCAAUAACCUGUGGUUACCCACAUCUGGCAUAUAGUCUUUUUUUUUUUUUAAGAAAACUUUUAUUUAAUAAAUAUAAAUUUCAAAAGUACAACUUUUGUAUUAUAGCGGUUUUACCCCCCAUAACCACCUUCCCACUCACAAAUCAUCUCAUCUCCUACUCCCUCUCCCAUCCCAUUCUUCAUUAAGAUUCAUUUUUAAUUAUCUAUAUAUAAAGAAGAUCAACUUAGUAUAUACUAAGUAAAGAUUUCAACAUUCUGCACCCACACAGACACACAAAGUAUAAUGUACUGUUUGGAGAAUAUAUUUACCAUUCAUUCUCAGAGUACAACACACUAAGGACAGAUAUUCUACAUGGGGAAUAAGUGCACUCCUGUUGUUGAUUUAACAAUUGACACCCUCAUUUAUGAUGUCAGUAAUAACCCAAGGCUCUUAUCAUGAGCUGCCAAGGCUGUGGAAGCCUCUUCAGUUCACAAACUCCGACCUUAUUUAGACAAGGCCAUAAUCAAAGUGGAAGUUCUCUCCUCCCUUCAGAGAAAGGUAUCUCCUUCUUUGAUGGUCCAUUCUUUCCACUGGGAUCCUACUCAUAGAGAUCUUUCAUUUAGGUGUUUUUUUUGUUUGUUUGUUUGUUUGCGAGAGUGUCUUGGCUUUCCAUGCCUGUGAAACUCUCAUGGGCUUUUUAGCCAGAUCUGAAUGCCUUAAGGGCUGAUUCUGAGGCCAGAGUACUGUUUAGGGCAUUUGCCAUUCUGUGAGUCUGCUGUGUAUCCUGCUUCUCAUGUUGGACCUUUUUAAUUCUAUCAAUUAGUAUUAGCAGACACUGGUCUUAUUUAUGUGAUCCCUUUGACACUUAAUCCUCUCUUUAUGAUCAAUUUAACUAGUAAAAUGGCAUUGGUACCUGCCAACAUAAUGGGAUUUGGAGUCCCAUGGCACGUUUCUAGCUUUACCCUUAGGGUAAGUUUGAGUGAGCGUGGAAAUCUUAUCUAUGGCUUCCUCAGAAAUGACCUUGCUUUUACCAGACUAAAUAACUCCCAAAAAUUUGAUAGAGCCCAGGUUUCUGCAUUUUGGACUCAUUGAUUGCUCAGCCACUUGACUUUAGAUGGUUCAACAAAGUAGGAAUAGCUGCUUCCAAAUCUGCAAGACAGUCACCAGUUAACAUCAUAUCUUCUGUUUAAUGAACAGUCAUAGGCCACCAUGUGAACUUUGCUGCUGUGAUAAAGGUGGAAGAACACUGAGAGUCCAUUACCAUCCAUCCCAUGUGAAGGUGAACUGAUCUUGACUCUCAGUGGAACAGAAAAUAUUAUCCAGAUCUAAGACAAAAUAGUAAGUUCCACGUCCAUAGCUGAGGCAGCCCAUGAUGAUCCUGCUGCAUGCAGAGAAGGAGCAACUUUAUUAAGCUCCCAGUAACGUGUCAUCACCCUACACGUUCCUUCUGGUUUUUUCACAGGCCAUACUGGGGUGUUAAAUGGGCUAUGCAUAGGCUUAAUAAUGCACACCUCCUCCAAUUUCUGGAUAGUUUCAGUAAUAACUUCUUCAUGACCCCCUGGCCUUUUGUAGUAUUUAAUAUUGGUCACUUGCCUUGGUGUGGGUUGCUAUAGUGGUAGGUGGUCAGCAUGCCCCCUCAGCACUGUUUUAACCACAUGCGUUCACAGGCAGAACUCCCCCCACUGUAAUUUUCAGCCAUAGACCCUGCAUGUAUGGGGGACAUAUACUCAGUAUAUUCCUGGUUGGUAAAUACCCUAUUUCCAAAGGCAGCUUUACUGCCUUUGCUUGAAUAGAGUGUCCUCCAAAGCUAUCUGUGGCUGCUGGGGCCCCAAGAAACUUUCAGGGUUGCCAUGCAGUAAUGUACAUUUAUCAGCCAUUGCCAGCACUCCCUGAACAUUUGAGAAAGAUCAGUGGAUGGUGAGUUCCACGUGUGGUGUCUAGUCUCCAUCUGUCCCAUCUGUCCCAUUCCAGUGGGUAUCUUGACCUUCCUAAUCAAAUUUAAAUGCCCAUUUGUCACCAGUGGCUUUUCCAGACAGCUCAAAGUCCUUCAGAAAAUCUUGGAGCUGCACUGCUUGGGCUCCUGACAUCCAGUUAGUUCCUUUGCUGUCAUUAUGCCGCCUAAUGGCCAGAACCAUUGUUCUGGUUUUCAGUUGCUGCCACAGUUUCAACAAUACCUUGUUAGUCUGUACAUCUAACUUUUUGCUGUUUGACCCUGCUGCCAGGAAAUCAACCCACAUCUUAGUUUGAGUGACCUUGAUUGGUCAUCUCCCGUUUUUUGUGUGUGUGUGUGUGUGUUGAGUUGUAGUUCACAUCCCCUUUCACCUGCAUGGUGUCUUGGCCUCUCCCAAAUCAGCAACACCAUCGACAAUCACAUUGAUAGGCUGUCCCAAAUAUAGCGCUACUAUUGCCAUCAAGGAAACAGACAAAAAGAGGGAGCAGUCUGCCACCUAAGAUUCCUCAUUGCUGCCAUGAAAACUUCAUUUUCUGGUCUGUGAAUUCCAGUAUUAUAGAUAGCAUUAUGCAUGCCCGUCAUGCACUUGCUGUAACUCAGUGUUCAUCUGCCACUUAGUGAUAGCCCCAGGUAAAUCUUCAGAAUUAGACCAAACCAAGCAAGCAGCAGCCAUGAACCAAUUCUAAAGAGAAUGCUUCCUUGCUGUUUGAUGGGCAGUCUAGAACCUCUGGUCUAGAGCGGAGUGCACAGAGAUGCCAUUUUGUCCCUCUCUAACCCUGAGAGCAAAAUGCCAUACAUCCCUACAUCCCAUAAGCAGAGCCACUAAGCAGCAAUCGAUUCAGAAGGAUUCUCUGUGAAUUUUGCUACAGAUCUGCUAGCUCUGCCUGAGUGUACAGGUGGAACACUGAGUGCUCAGCAGUCAGAGGGGAGGAGUCCUGCAGGAGUCCUUGCUUGCUACCUCUUUAUCUUUUGGGUAAUCCCCAGAUGGGCCUUGAGCAAUUUAGGAAGCUCAAGUGUGUCCUCUUUAUCACUGGAAUGUGUACCCAUUACAAUCAGUGGGUUAUCUGGUAUCAGCUGCAACCUGAAGGGCUUCAGCCCCUCCCUCAGGUGCAGAUCUGUCUCCUUUCACCCUUUGUGUUGUAGUACUGUCUCCAGUGACUCCUGAGACUCCACCUGCAAUCUAAUCAUUUUCUGAUUGUAGAGCAGUUAGAAAGAUUCAGCCCUUAGUUCCAGCCAUUCAAGCAUCUUCCUUAUCAAAAGUUUUUCCAGGAAUAUUCAAUGCCUGUUUUACACAAGGGGGUCAGUUAUCCACUGUAAUCAAUUCUUGGCAUGAGCUUGGCCACCCAGUACCACACACUUUUAACCAGCCACCCCUGAAUUCUGUCCUACAAGGUUGAAGAAGGCUCCACUGUUUGGGCCUAAGUCAAAUCCUGCUGACUAUGCCAAGUGUAAUUCAGGAGUUUGACUUCUGAGAAACUAGGGCCAGGUUCAGCAGGCCAAAGAACAAUAUAGGAGCUUUGAGCAGGUCCAUAACCUCUUUUAUGUGGUAAGUGGUAAGUGAAAAUACACAUAGGAAUACAACCACUUGUCCAGUGGCAGCUGACUGGACUGUGAUGAGGUAUCUGAACCCAGAUAUGUUCCCCUCCCCAAGCUUAUUAUAUGAACAUGGAGCCAAGCCAUUACAUAGUAGGGUCAUGGGCAGCUAGCCAAACAAGUGGCCCUGUCAGUUGCCAUGACAGCAGUUGCCAUUGAGGCACAGAGAUAUAGGAGCAUAAAGAUUAGCAGGCAAGGGUGUAAGGUAUGGAAAAUUGAGAAAUUCCAUCUUCUCAAGUUCAUUGUCACAAGUACAAAGAACACUGGAUUUCUGUACUAUAAUGCCCCAUUCACGACUGUAUGUGAAUGUGUGCACAGGUGUUUAUGAUUGUAGGCUUUACCACCCUUGCCAUGAUCCAGUGUGGCCCAUUUACUGGCUAUAUUUCUGAUGGUUCCAUUGUAUAUAUUCCUAACCCAUUUAUUUGAAUGUUGCAUAGAUGUUUUAAAGGAAAAGACAAAGUAAAAUGGUUUUGAGACUGGGAGCCACUCCUUCUUCAAUGCCAAUAAUCAGCUAUACAAAUCAAACUAUAGUUACCUUAGGGAUAAUCACUUUGCACCCAAGUAAAUUAGACAAAUAGCCAGCGGAAGCAAUGCCUGAAUAACAGAGGACAACAUAGGUGAUAAAGAUGGCAUAGUGCAUGCAUUCAAUGUAAGAGCAUCAGAGUCGUUUGCUUUUUCUACAUUAAUUUAGUGCAGUGAAUAUGGCCUCCUUUUGCAUUAUCUCCUACGGCUUCUCUUAAUCCACACUCCUGUAGUAAACACAUGAUUUGAGAUUUUUGAAAACUUAGAAGUCAUGGUUGUUAAUGUAGAGAUAUACUCCUAUCCAAAAAGGAAGAACUUUUAUCAAGAAAAUGCUGUAGUCAAUUUAUUUCUGCUGUUUUGUGUCUUUUUAGUUAAUAUUGCUAAAUCAUAAGCUUCUUAAGGAGAGAGGAAGUAUUUGUGUGUGUAUGCCUUUCUGAUUUCCUGCACUUGGCUUUCCAUUACUCUUGCUGGUAUAAAUUUAUUGAAAUAAUUCUUAAAUGCUUGUAUAAUUAAUGGGAAACAUUAUAAAUAGUGGGAAAAAGUAUAACUUAGCUUUAACGAGCAUUUUCUUUUUCUUUUUUUUUUUUUUUUUUGAUAGGCAGAGUGGACAGUGAGAGAGAGAGACAGAGAGAGAAAGGUCUUCCUUUGCCGUUGGUUCACCCUCCAAUGGCCGCCGCUGCAGCCGGCGCACCGCGCUGAUCCGAUGGCAGGAGCCAGGAUCCAGGUGCUUUUCCUGGUCUCCCAUGGGGUGCAGGGCCCAAGCACCUGGGCCAUCCUCCACUGCACUCCCUGGCCAUAGCAGAGAGCUGGCCUGGAAGAGGGGCAACCGGGACAGAAUCCGGCGCCCCGACCGGGACUAGAACCCUGUGUGCCGGCGCCGCAAGGUGGAGGAUUAGCCUAGUGAGCCACGGCGCCGGCUCUUAACGAGCAUUUUCUAUGUCAGGAGUGCAUUAGAUAUUUUGUGUGUGUAUCUUACUUCAGGGCAGUGUUAAUUGCGUGAAUAAUGGCAAGUUUUGCAUGUGUUUGCUUCUGAGUUUCUAUAUGCCCCUCCCUGAAGGUUCUCUAGUGUCUCAUUCUGCCUUUCCAGCAGAUGGAAGCUAGCUCUCGCUCUGUCUCUCUCUCUGUGUGUGUAUGUGUGUUUAACUGCCUUUCAAGUAAAUUAAUCAUUAAUAAAUAAACAAUUUUAAAAAGUUUAAACAAUUUCCAUUUAAUUAGCUAAGUAUAUAGAAUUAGCAGAAGUGGGUUUACCAGACAGCAUGGAAAUGAACACAUCCUAUCAUAGCAAAAGUUUGAUGGAUGUUCUGGUCCCCUCAUGGGCAUAUGCAGUUGUAGACUGUUUCCAGAUCUGAAACUAAGUCCUUGAUCCUGGUGGUACCACAGGUUUUUGUGCUGAGACUCCUUUAGGAAGAUUGAUUAUCAGUGUUUUACAUUUAUUAAAAUUUUUGUAAACAUGAAAAUGUCCUAGUUCUUAAAGUCAAUCAAGUCCACAUUUUCAAUUAGAGGAAGAAAGUAAGAUCAGUUCAUUGACUGAUUCCUGAACAACAUCUUUCGCCAAGUUUCUAGAAUAUUAGAAACCCUGUUUUCCAAGAGUCUACCACUGAUUCUUGCUUGUGCAUUUUAAUCCAGUCAGUUCCAACAGGCUUUUUAGAUUUAAGAACAGACUUACUUCCCUUUCUCAGCACUUAAUUUAGCUAGAUCAUUCAAAAAUAUGGUUGAAUUCAAAUAUUUGUUUUGGAGAACUUUAGUUAAAUUGCCUUGAAACUGUUCAAUUUACUAUAUGUUGGGGCCAGAGAACAUUCUGGAAUUAAACAUAACUUUUGUCCUAUAAAUAUUUAUUUAUUUGAAAGGCAAAGGGAUAGAGAUCUAGAGAUCUAGAGAGAGAGAGAGAGAGAGACCAUCCAUCAGCUCACUCCCCAAAAAACUGCAACAGUGAAUACUGGGCCAGGAGGCACAUGGGUGCCAGGAACCCAAGUGUUUGGGCUAUCCUCUUCUGCCUUCUCUAGCAUUAACAGGAAGCUGGAUCAGAAGCAGAGAAGCCAGGACUCAAACUGACACCCUGAUAUGGUAUGUGGGGAUCACAAACAGUGCUGUGCCACAAUGCCCACUCCCAACUUUUGUCAGCCAAAGUUCAAUCAUUCUUCCUCACUCUACCUCAUUUUCACACCUGUUUCAAGUAGCUGUGUAUAUCACAUUUAUUUAACGGGACACAAUAAGCUCUGUUUUGAAGGCUUUACAGAUACUUUCUUAUUUGUUUAAUUAAACGUAGGUAGGUAGUAUUUUAUGGCAACUGAGAUGGAAUGUAUAGGUAUCUGAAAUACAAAAGCUUGGUAGUAUAACUUGUUAGUUUUCUGUAUUUAUCUCUGGUCUUUUGUUUUAAGGAAUACAAAUUUUUUAAGUUCAACUAGUUAUUCUUCCCACCAUACCCUCCCUCCCACCCACACUCCCACCCCUCCUCCUCCUCCUCUCUCUGCUUGCCAGUCCUAUUCUCCAUUAAGAUUCAUUUUAAGUUAACUUUAUACUCAGAAGAGCAGCUCUAUACUAAGUAGAUUUCAACAAUUUGUAUACACAUACACACACACACACAUAAACUGUUUGAGAACAGGGUUUACAGUUUAACUCUCAAUAUAAGUCAUUGAGGGCAGAGGUCCUGCAUGAGGAGUUAGUGUACAGUCUUUAACCUGCUGCAGCACACUGCCAGCUCUUCAUAUGUCUCUGAAUUAAACUUUAAAGAAAAUUAUCAGGGCUGGCACUAUGGCAUAGUGGGUUAAGUCACCACCUGCAAUGUUGGCAUCCCAUGUGGGCAUCUGCUACACUUCCUAUCUAGCUCUCUGCUGAUGUGCCUGGGAAAGCAGUGGAAGAUGGCCUAGUUACUUAGUCCCCUGUUCCCACUUGGGAGACAUGGGAAAAGCUCCUGGCUCCUGAAUUGAGCCUGACCCAGUCCUGGCCAUUGUGGUCAUUUGGGAAGUGAACCAGUGGAUGCAAAAACUCUCUAUCUCUUCCUCUUUUUAUCUUUAACUCUACCUUUCAAAUUAAAAAAAAAUAAUAAAAGUUAUCUCCCUUUUUCAAGUUAGGGAAAUGGAAUUGACUAAGCAAGGAGCAUUUUUAGAUAUGAGGUAAGAAACAGGAAGGUGUAUUCUUUCUAGAGAAGAUGGGCCUUGGCAAAGAGAUUUUUCUGGAGACGAUUCUCAGGAGCAAGACCCACAAAUACUCUACCCCUUGGUGGGGUGCAAGUAUAAGUUACCCAAUAGCUAUUUCACACAUGUGUACCCCCACAUACUAAGACUGAUUGUGUGGAGAUCAGGCAGAAGUUAUCAGUUGUCUGGUUUCAAGAGUUCUCAUACAGAUAUAGCUCCUUAGGGUUGUCUUCAACCAUGUAUCACAGGUGAUUUCUUUGACUCCAUUGCAAACACUGCUUUAAGCAAAACUUUGGAGAGUUCUACCUUAUUCCAUCUUCUGUGUUACACUGUACUACUAGAGGCUUCUGUGCAGGGCAGUAGUGGGAACAUCAGUCUUGAGUAGAAGCUGUACUGGAGAGAAGGUGCAGAAAGUGAAUUCUCCUGUGCAAGUGGGGGGAGAUGGAGAACUGAAUUUCCACCUGGCCAUGUCUUGGUUCUGGAGACAUUUGGAGGGAGACCUAUGGGCCUUGGUAAGUGAUGUGAUUGGAAAAGGAGAAAUAAGGGAUACUUAGAUUGCUGAUAAUUAAUUAAAUCAGAGUUUUGCCUACAUUCAGUGUGACUUUCUAAUGCUCUUGAACUUGCCUUAGCUACAUUAGGGUUGGUACAUCAAACACAGCUAUGGUUGAAUCCAUCCUUCCUAUUUCCUUUUUUUUCUUUUUUUAAAGAUUUAUUUACUUAUUUGAAAUUCAGAGUUGCACAGAGAGAGAGGAGAAGCAGAGAAAGAGAGAGGUCUUCCAUCUGAUGGUUCACUCCCCAAUUGGCCGCAACGGCCAGAACUGCGCUGAUCCGAAGCCAGGAGCCAGGAGCUUCUCUGGGUCUCCCAUGUGGGUGCAGGGGCCCAAGGACUUGGGCCAUCUUCUUAUUGCUUUCCCAGGCCCUAGCGGAGAGCCAUAGUGGAGCAGCCAGGUCUCGAACCGGCGCCCAUAUGGUAUGCCGGCGCUUCAGGCCAGGGCGUUAACCCACUGCGCCACAGGGCUGGCCCCCUAUUUCCUUUUUAUAUUCCCUUAGUCUGGAGCUUGAUUUCCAUGCUUGAUUUGUCUCCUUUUAGUUUUUCUCCCAUGUUUGUCAUAAAGAGAACCAGAAUUUAGUUGAUAAUCAUCUUAGAUUGAUUUGAAUGAUGUCAUUUCCAUGACCCCUCAUCCAUGAUCCUGGAUGCUUUUGUGUUUCAUUUGUGAUGGAAUUGCUUUGCUUUAUCAAUUUUGAUAUUGCUAAUAAACAUUCUGCUCAACAAAUUUUGUUAAGAUAAUACAAUAUUGUUUCUUCUUAGACUUGCAUAUAAUUAUCUGAUAUUUAUAUAUGAUCUGUUUCCUCUGAAUAAGUUAUUUUUUCCAAAGUAGCCUGCAAAUAUUAAUGGGAAACAAAGAAUUCUAAACCAAGUAAAGGAAUGUAAUAGAAUUUUUAGCAAGAAUUUUCAAAAAGUGAACUGAAAUGAUUCAGACUUGAAUAUGGUCAGUAUUUGAAAAUCAGACAUAAAUUUUUAAAAAGAGAUGUCUAAUUAUUCUAUCAAUAAACAGUAUUUCAUUGAAUUCGCAGUAUGUUCACUCCAGGUGAAAGAAAUUGAAGAUUAGAUUUUCCUAGGAGGGAAAAUAUUUAGUACAGACCUUUUAGAAUAAUUCAGUUUUGAAUCUAAGAAAACUAAAUGUAUCUGUUACCAGAGAAGCAAAGGGUUCUUGUCUUCGCGCAAGAAAGAAUUCAGGUGUGAGACAGAAAGCAGUGGAAAGCAACAUAGCAAGGUUUAUUAGGAUAGGGACAUCCAUAAGAAUGGAUGGGCACCUCUCCAGACGGGACCUGAGAAAGAGUGUUUAGUUCACAUUUAGGCUGGGAUUUUUAAGAGGAUGGGUCUUGCCUUCCUGCAGCCAUUUCUCUCCACAUCUCCUUCUUCUCCGGAACAAAGGACUUGUUAUGUGUAAAUAUGAAACAUUUCUUUCUGAGUUUUUCCCCUUGAAGCUAUCAGACAGGGGAAGCCUGACUGGCAUCGCCCCACCUUAGAGGAAGAAUGUUUAUCAGGCCAGGUAGAAGAAGCAGGACCCCCUGGAAGGUCAUCAGGAUCCGGGCGGGACUUUGAAGUGCAGAUACUAGGCUGCACUUGGAAGAUUAUCGGGUAGAAAGGUCAGGACUCCCUGGACAGUCUUCAGGAUCUGGACAGGACUUUGAAGUGCAAGAUGCUGCGCUUCUGGAGCUUCCACAGUAGGUGCUGGUCUUCAGGCCCUUCUCGUACACACAUAGGCUCAAUUUCUGACUUCCUACCUAACAUAUCCAUUUCAGAUUUGUGAACUCUAUUCAGUACCCCUCUCUUGCUUUCCUACUGCUAUUUCUUUUGCUAUUUCCACAGAAAGGGCUGGGUCAGUGAGCAAAAGACCUUUCUCUGCUAUGCUUUCUGUGGACUGAACAUAAGGAGAUCUGUAGCACAUCCCGGUGCUCUUGGCUUAGUUUCUUUUGGGAAUUUGAGUUUUCUUACCUCCUGAACUACUGCACUUGGGAAGAGCCAGGGAGUUUCACCUUGGGCCAUCCUGCCUUCUGCUCAGCCUGCUAAUUAGUCAUUAAUUAGUAACUGUGGGGUGCCGAGGAAAAGUCUCACCGACACCAACAUGCUCCUCAUAGUGAACCUUAAGCUCCAGGCAAGAGAAUUUUAUGCCUCCUUUGAGCUUCUGUCAGCUUCCCCCUUCUGCCCUUCCCAUUAUCCAGAUCACUUUUAAAAUCUGGCCACUUGAUAAGGGUCUUUGUGUCAGUCCCCGAUUCUCACACUGGUUAUAGUGGUUCCAGACCCGCUUCUGAUGCUAAUCAUUUCAAAGGGCUUUUGAAUUUGUGGGAAGAGACAGCAAAUGCCUGCAUUGCAGGCUCCAGGCUUAACCAGCCACGAAGACUAGACUUUAAUCAAUGUGGAGAGUGCUCAAUUGAAGAAAGCAGAGGCCAGAUACCUUGGUGUAGCAUUUUUCCUACCCUCUGUUCCCUAGUCAAGUUACCCAGUUACGAUGGUUUGAAUGGCAGCAACUUCACGUUAUUCUAGAAGCACAUGCAGAAAAGAAGGGCUGCUGCCUUAAUAUUCUUGAAAUUCAGUUUUCUAGAGGGAGAACCUUUAUGGUCUGGUUUAUUGUAUUAAACAUGGUCUAGUCUGGGAAGUAACAUGGAGACUUUCUACAGAUGUGCUACCCUGCAUAAUUCUGGAAAUAACUGAUAUUGUGCUGGUGAGCUAACCAUCCAUGUUGUUACUCUCAAGGACAAAAACUCAGUCUGCUCUGAAAUUUAAAUGAAUGCAUGGAAAAACUAUUAAAAAUUGAUAAAGUUUUUAAGAGUUAACUGGAAUGAAAGUGAAAUCGGAGAAGACCCCUAAAUUUUACACUAAAAUGUGGCUCCUUAAAGUUCCUGGGUGCCAUAUGUGCUAUCGGAAUUUGGGGUGCCUUACGAUUUCACCACGGGCUUAUUACUAAAUCCCCGAUAUUAAUAAGCCCAAGAGGGUUCUUGCCUAAUAUUUAAAGAAGAAUUCUAAAUACCGGCACAGAUAAACGAGGCAGCAUAGUACAUUUUAAGCUUUUAUUUAGUGCAAGAGGUAUCUAGGAAAGUGAAGGCUUUAGUUCAGGCAGGAGAGAGGGGAAAGUCUGGAAACUAGGGUAGCAUCCAUACCACUCAGAGCAGCAAGCACCUCGAGCUGCUAUCCACCGCUUAUCACCAGCAGCACCACAGAGGCAGAGAGCCUUUUGCAACACUCCCUGCCUUUAUAUAUGUUUUCCACAGUGGAGUGGCUUGUGGCCAAGUGGGCACUCAGGUAUGGUCAGGUAGAGCCUGAUGUCACAUGGGGGCAUGGUGAGGGUAUCAGGUAGGGUGUAAGGUCACACAGAGGCAUGGUGAAGGUAUCAGGUAGGGGGUGAAGUCACACAGAGGUGUAGCGAAGGCGUGGUCUCCCAGCUCACAAAACGAACUGAUUUUAGCCUGUAUGCCUGCCUGCUUCAAAAGGAAUUAGCACCUCUAUUUGAUAGUAAAUAAAGUGAUCACAGCAAUGUAUCUGCAUUUUUCAUUAAUAUUCUGUGAAAUAGUGGUGCUUUGGUAUUUCAGAAUGAAAAUUAAACUAUUAGCUUGGUUACUAGAUUGCUAUUGUAACAAAGUAAAACUUGUAUAAAACUUAACAGUUUUCAUCUCUCUCAAACUGGUAUAAUUCUAUGUGGCUUCACAGGAUAGAAUAUUUGCCAAUUUUUUUUUUUCUUUUUUAAUUUGAGAGGUAGAGUUGCAGGCAGUGGGAGAGACAGAAAGAAAGGGUCUCUGUCCUCUGGUUCACUCCCCAAACUCCUGCAACAACCUGAGCUGGGCGUAUAUGAAGCCAGGAGCCAGGAACUAAUUUGGGUCUCUUACACAGGUGCAGGAGCUGAAGCACUCAGGCUAUCCACUGCUUUCCCAGGCCCUAAGCAGAGAGCUGGAUCAGAAGUAGCGCCCAUAUGAGAUACCAGCACUGCAGGUGGAGGCUUAGCCUGCCCCUGUUCUGGAUUUUUAAAGCUGCAAAAAUAGAACUAAUUUUAAACAGAAAUCAAGGGGGAAACUCUGCAUGGGUGUUUGGUUUUAAUCACAAGAGUGUACUCAUCAGAAUCUCCAGGAGAAAGUUGGCAAUGUUGUGUUUCCCACCUGGCUAUGACAUUUCUACCACAAAGUGCACUGUGGAACCAACCAGUCAGCACAUCUGGGAUUCCACUGUGAGGCUCCUGCUACAUUAAGAAACGUUUACCUGGAACACUUGAUACUUACUAACUUCAAGGGCCCACUACUGGGACCAGCACCGUGGUGCGCCUGUGGCGCCAGCAUCCCAUAUGGACGCCGGUUCUGGUCCCGGCUGCUCCUCUUCCGAUCUGGCUCUCUGCUGUGGCUUGUGGAGAAUGGCCCAAGUGCUUGGGCCCCUGUACCACCUGGGAAACCUGAAGAAGGUACCUGGCUCCUGGCUUUGGAUCAGCGCGGCUCUGUCUGUUGUGGCCAUUUGGAGAGCGGGUCAGCGGAAGUAGGACCUUUAUCUCUGUCUCUCCCUCUCACUGUCUGUAACUCUACCUCUCAAAUAAAUAGAUAAAAAUCUUAAAAAAAAAAAAAAAGGACCAACUACUGAGGAUAAUCAAGUCUUUCAGUCCAAGGACCACUUGUCUGUUUGCAUUUCUUAGCAUAGGUGAGGUGUAUUUUUCUGUAAAACACUUGUUCGGUUUUUCACAGAAUUAAUAUUUUUCAGUUCCAGUAAGUUUUAAGCUUUUCAGCAAUUCAUACUCUUUUAAAAAUAUAAUUAAGCAUUCAGCAUCAGCUGAUAACUUGUUAAGAAAAUUAAGUAGUGACAGUAAUCCCUUAUUUUAACAUUGGCAUUAGAGUCAAGCACCGUGGAUAUGGUUGAAAAGUAUAAAUGGAAUGUGUCAGCAGACACACAGCAGCAAAGGGUAUUUGACAUCCCAAUGUCUUAUAAUGCCUAAGAGGCAGGAGUUUUCAACUACUUCAUGUAGAAAACAGUAAUUAGAUGCCAUAGUCAUAAUGAAAUCCAUAGAUACUGACAAAAUAUAAUGAAAGUACAAUUUUAAGACUAUUAACUGCAAGUAAUAAAAAAAGCAAUUUAAUAAGAUAAGUUCCAAUAUUUCUAUAUACAGGGCUAUUCUCUAGGUCUACUUUGUGUAUAGGUGCUCACUUUCAACAAAUAUGCUAUACAAAACUCUAGUUAUACUCAAGAGUCCUUUAUAAAGCCUCUGACAGGAAGCCAGUUAGCCUGGGGGAUAUCCAGUGUCACUAUCCUACCUUUCGGUUGAGGCCUGGUACCAUCGUGGGCUCUGACACAUUUCUUACUUGAGACUCAAUAGAUUUUUCCUUUCCAGGCAAAUUAGGUACUUUCUGGAUGAUUCUUCAUGAGGUGUCACCAUAUCUUUUCUUGUCUCUUGUCCUACAGUGGGCACAGUGGAUCAGUGAAGUUAUAGAGUAAUAUAAGUUCACCUCCUUUCCCCAUGAUAUUUCUUAGAAAUUAGAGGAAGGGAGCAUAUUUGCAAACACUUAUAUUCACCCACUUUUAAUUAUACCCUAAAACAGAGCUGGGGAGCCUCUUGUCUCCCAAAGACAAUUUACAUAUUUUAUUUUCAUUUUUAUUUAUUUAUUUGAAAGAAUUACAGAGAGGGAGAGACAGACACACACACACACACACACACACAGAGAUCUUCUAUCUGAUGGUUUACUCCCCAAAUGUCCACAACAGCAGGGCUGGGCCAUGCCAAAGCCAGGAGCCAGGAACUUGGCCCAAGCACUUGGGCCAUCUUCUGCUGCUUUCCCAGGCACAUAAGCAGAGAGCUGGAUUGGAAAUGGAGCAGCCAGGACUCAAAUCGGCAGCUAUAUGGGAUGCCAGCACUGCAGAUGGGCCUCUUAGGCAUUGUAAGACAUUGGGAUGGCUAAUACCCUUUGCUGCUAUGUGUCUGCUGACACAUUCCAUUUAUACCUUUCAACCAUAUCCAUGGUGCUUGACUUUAAUGCCAAUGUUAAAAUAAGGAAUUACUGUCACUAUUUAACCCACUACACCACAGUUCUGGCCCCCUGUUUGUAUAUUUAUGACAUCAUUCUGGGCCACACAAAAUCAUCAACUUAAAAAUUAUCCUGCUAUGUAUUUAUUGAAUUUUGAGUCCUACCUACAGUUGCCUUGGCAGUGCCAGACCAAAUUUUUUGCUGGCCUUGUUUGACAACCAAAAACUCUCUUAAGUGGAUAGUGCGAAAUCAUAUAUAUAAUUUUUUUAAGGCACCAGGAGACUUUUAAUGAAUUCUUGGGCAGCCUGGACUUAGGGGUGUGGAAGGUGGGGCAGAAGAUCAGGCUUGGGGGUUGGGCUGCUUGUCAGUUGCUGGGGGUGUGGGAGAGAGAAAUGUUGCCAGGCCUUUGGAGGGCAGUAGAGGCUUCAGUAUCGGGGGCAUGGGAGCAGGAGGGUGCACCCCGGGAUUUGACAGUGGUUGCCAGGGAGCUGGGGGUGGACCCCUUGUACCUGCAGGUGGACCCGGGAGACCUGGGGAUGAACUGCAGGAGCUGGUGGACUCCUGGGAUCUGGAGUUGAACUGUGCAUGCUGGUGGGCACACCCCUGGGGCCUGAGGAUCAACCCCAGCCCCUGAAGUAAGGUUGACCCCCGGGGCUGGUGGGUGGAUUCUGGGUGCUGGAGGGUGGACCCCUGGGGAAGGAGGUGAACUACUGGUACAGGGGUGAUGUGGGGUGUGGACCACUGGGGCCGGCAGAGGCAACUGGAGGGCCCCCCCAAAGGCACAGGCCUCUUCGAGGGCAUGUAGGGCAGAGAAUCUGGCAGCAGCAGUUGAGGGGGCAAACCAUUCAUCAGCAGGAUAGGGCCGCUUCACCCUGGGAGGCCUGGCAGGGAGGCUUCUCCAUCUUGACAGGGAACUGCAGGAAGAACUGCUUGGUCUUCCUUGUUCCAGUGAGUCCAAAACUUGCCCUUGGCCUUGUCGAUCUCUCUGCUUGGCACCUUGAAGGCAGUGGUCUUGUAGGGCUCUGCCGCCAUUAGCAGGUACUGCCAACACAGGUACCAGGGCUCAAUCCUCUGCUCGUACUUGGACAUGCAGCGGUGUUGGGGUGUGAUGCCCUGAUGCCCUAGACAAUCUAUGGGAAGUCGAUCUGGAAGUGGAGUUUCUGCUGGUCCAUCUCUGUGUCCCCCUGCUUGGUCAGUUUGUAGCCUGAGCCGCAGAUCUUCACAAACUUCUUCACCUCCACCUUGACCUUCUCUGGUGCUAGCUGGGCGAGGCCUCCUUCUGCCAAGUUGAUCUGAUGCUUUUUCCCUUGGGUGUGUGUGAGAUAGCUGCCCUGGUUAUUGUGGAGCUUGCACUUGUAGCAUCCCUGGUGCAGUCCUGGUUGCUCCCCAAGAAGCAGGCCACCCCCACUCUACCCCUGCACUCCCACUCUUGCCCCAAAGGCGAUGCUGAAAAUUGAUGGGAGAAACCUUUGCCCAAGGCCUCCGCUGUUUGAGCCUCUGGAGCCAUAGCCACCGAAAAAUCAUCUGUAACUGAGGUUAUAUGGACCACAAAAAUUAACCAUGGGGGACAUAAACCCCCAUGGGUUAUGGGCAUGAACCUGGGAGGGAAGGGGUUGCUGCUAUAGUGCCUCUCAGUCUUCUCGCUUCCUGCCCAACACACACGCCUGUGCACCUCUCUUUAAAGCACAGUGCUGGGUAUGGAGAUUCACUCAGUUAAAACUUGACAAAUGGGUGUUCUAGACAAAUGACUGCAGUGAACUUUAAAGAGUCUGUGGCUUUAUCCUCUUUGAUUAACAUUGACAAGAUAGACUUCAUGACUGCUGUUAUGGUUGCGGUGGACCGUGCAAAGCUGUUGGCUGAUUUUCUUGCUGCAAUUCCUUUUGCUAUUUCUCCUGAAAUACAAAGAAAAUAGGAUGUUUGUGUAUCUCUGUCUCUCUCACUCUGUCUCACUCUUUCCUUAUGUAAACAGUAUGUCUUUUUAGCACAGUUGUCUCACUUUGUCUUGGACUCAAGGUGACCACCCUUCAUUGUUGGGAGCAGUGUAUGAGUGUGGAUUGGGGUUACAAAAAUAAUAAUAGCUAACGUUUAUGUAAUGUCUUUGAUAUUCUACUGUGAGUUUUAAUGCACAGUAUACUACCUCAUUUGGUCAUCACACUAACCUUGUAUAGUAAGUAUUAUAUUAUAAUUAUACCCAUUUCAAAGAUGAUUAGAUUGAGCUUCAGGGAGAUUCAAAAAUCUUCAGAAGUUACUGAACUUCCAGAUCUUCAGAACUGGAUCAUGUGGCAUUUUCAUUUUAGUCAUUUUUCUGAUUUGAGAUUAUAGCUUGGAUCAGUUUACCUGUGCUUCAUUUUUGAUGGCUCAGAAAACCCGUUCAAACACAACUAGUGAAAUCAGAUUUAACUCCCAGGAAAUCUCAAGCCAGGUUUCAGCUCAACAGUAGGCCACUAUAGUUUCCUCUGUCUAACUGAUCUGAGCUCGUGUCUCUGUUCAUUGUGAAGUUACUAAUAUUGAGAAUAGAGAGCUGUAGUACCUACCUGUGUAUGAGAUGGGUUCUCCCAUUCCAGGUCUCUUCUUAAACAGGUCUACUACCCCUAGGCUUAAACUUGUGAUUCAAAUGGAACAGUAUCCAGUGCAGCCUCUGUAUUAUAUUUCUACAGACAUUAAAGUGAAUAAGACCUUAAAUCUGCAGGGAAACUUCUUAGUACUGUUUCUCACUGUAUUACAUGUUGGUAAUUAAAAACCCUUGAGAAAUAAAAAAUCAUAUAAACAAACAGAUAUGUAGAAAAUUAAGUACUUGUGACAUUUUAGGAGUGCAUUUUUGUUGUGCAUUUUUGUUGUAAGAGCAGUUACUUCUUCAUGAAGCCCCAGGGAUUUAAGUUUUUCUAAGUAGAGGAUUUUUUACCUAGCUCUUGUAACUUUACAAAGAAAGCUUUCAUUGAUAGAAGGCAAAUUCAUAUGAGUGACUUGUGUUGCAUAUGUUUGAUCAAGGAAGAAUAGUUUGUGUUACUUUAUUUACUCCUAUCCCUGUAGGAAUUGUUAUAAUAUCAUUAUCUUGAAGACAUACAAUAGUAAUGUUUCACAAAUUCUAAAUUCAUAGGAAUUGGGCUGAAGCAACAAAGGUGAGAUGAGGAAAGGUUCACUGGACAUGAAUAGCUGCGUACUUGGGCCUGUUGACUGAUCAAGCCUUGUGGUUUGAUUUCCUCACCUCUUCAGCAUUGCUGACUCUAUCAGCUUCUGCAUGUGCUGUUGUAUUUGGAUUUACACUCUGUUAACAUCAGUAUGUAGAUGGAAGCCUAGUCAGAAUUUUCCCAGGAUGAUAUGUUUGCCCAUGACUCAGCUCAUGCGGUGUUGGGGUCCCCUCCUUCAAGGUGUCUCAGGUCAGCCAUGCCAGGUCUGAUAGGAGAAUUGCCAUCCUGGAAUCUUCCCUUGCCCUGCAACAGAGCUCCUUCUCCUUGAGCUCUUGCCUUGGAAGUUAUUGCUCUCUGUUUUCUGUGAAAAUCCCAAUUGACAGAAAUGAUGCUUGACAAUGUGGUACAUUUUACAUUCAGUAUUCAAGUUGGAUUCCUGUGUCAGACUGGAUCACCAAAAUACUACUAAUGUUAGUCUCUAACUUAGCCAUUCAUGCAGUGACUUUCUUGACUUUCAUCUUUUUUUAACUUGAUAACAUUUUUUUAAAAAUAUUUAUUUAUUAUUUAUUUGAAAGGCAGCAUUACGGAGAGGGAAGGAGAUACAGAGAUAGAAUGAUCUUCCAUCUGUUGGUUCACUUCCCAAACAGCAGCAAUGACUGGAGUUGGACUAGGCUGAAGCCAGGAACCUUGGAACUCCAUCUGAGCCUCCUAUGUGGGUACAGGUACCCAAGGACUUGGGUCAUCCUCCACAGGUUUCCCAGGCACGUUAACAGGGACCUGGAUUGGAAAUAGAGCUGCUGGGACUCAAACUGGUAGCCACAUGGGAUGCCAGCAUUGCAGGCAACAGUUACCCCACUGUGCCACAGUGUGGCCCCACAAAAUUUCAUUUCAGUUCCUUUUAUUGAAGACAUAUAUAAGUACUAUUAUGUAAAUAGCAUUGUUGUCAUAUUUGUUAGGCUGUGGUUAAAAAGAUUGACUGUUGUGUCUUUAAAUAUUCCAGGUGAUAGGUGAUAAAAGACAAAUAUGUCUGUUAGAGAAUAAGGAAAAAAAAACUUGGAAAUUUUUUACUAGAAUCCAACAAGAAUUUAAUGGUUCUCUGAAUUUUGAACAGUGAUGCCAUGGGAAAUUUAUGCAAGUCAAUCCAAAAUAGAAGUCAGGAGCAUUGUAAUAGAGACUUUAAAGAUGUUAUUUAUGUUCAUCACAACUUUGAAAUUGAGAAAUUGUUAGUAGACUUACCUUUAGAUAUUAGUGUUUAGUACAGUAUUUUUUUUUAAGAUUUAUUUAUUUAUUUGAAAGUCAGAUUUACACAGAGAGAAGGAGAGGCAGAGAGAGAGAGGGGGAGAGAGAGAGAGAGAGAGAGAGAGAGAGAGAGAGAGAGAGAGAGAGAGAGAGAGAGAUAGGUCAGUCUUCCAUCCACUGGUUUAUUCCCCAAAUGGCCUCAAAGGCUGGAGCUACGCUGAUCUGAAGCCAGGAGCCAAGAGCUUCUUCUGGGUUUCCCAUGUGGGUGCAGGGGUCCAAGGACUUGGGCCAUCUUCUACUGCUUUCUCAGGCCAUAGCAGAGAGUUGGAUUGGAAGUGGAGCAGCUGGGACUCGAUCUGGCAUCCAUGUGGGAUGCCAGCACUGCAGGGGCGGCUUUACCUGCUACGCCACAGCGCCAGCCCCAUAGUACAGUAUUUAAAGAAGCAUAUAGUACAAGUUUGGUACAAGUUUGGGGUUUUUUCUAUACUAUUUCAGUGUUAUUGCUCUCUUUUAUAAAUUUGUUUUUUGUGUUAUAAACCUUGUUCUUAGUGGAAUUCUGCAGGCUUCACAAGGUAGUCACAUGGUUCCAUGGAAACAGAUAUUUUACUCUCCAGUGGCUUUCGUGACAUAUGUGCAUGUGAGCUUCCUGGAUGCCUCAGGUCUGGUUCAGGGCUUUGUAUGUGCUUCCUUCUCUUAGGAGCCCCUUCCUAUCUUCAUCUGAGCCUUCUUAAUACCUUGCAUUAUGGUCAGCCAUGUCUGUCUCCCCUACCAGUCUGUGAGCCACUUCAGAGAAGAGACUCUCACAAAUUUACUUAUAAUGAGUACUUAGUAGUUGCUUUUUUAAAAUGCUACUUUUUUUUUUUUUGUCCUCCCCAAAUCCAUCCUUGUAUUCUUCCUCUUGGCAUUGUUUGAUAGCUGGUUCAAGGUUCUUUGGUUGAGAGUUCAUGCUGUAGGGUGCUCAUCAGGUGAGCAAUUGGAUCUUUUUAUUUAUUUAUUUAUUUAUUUAUUUAAUGAGCAUAAAUUUCCAAAGUACAGCUUAUGGAUUACAGUAGCUUCCUCCCCCCACCCCCGUAUCUUCCCUCCCACCCACAACGCUCCCCUCUCCCACUCCCUCUCCCCUUCCCCUUCACAUCACGAUUAAUUUUCAAUUAUCUUUAUAUACAGAAGAUCAAUUUAGCGUAUAUUAAGUAAAGAUUUCCACAUUUGAGCAAUUGGAUCUUACUGUUGGUGCCAUCUCUUGGAGGCGGUGUAGUAUGAUGGGAAGAAUGGGUAUGGUAAUGAAUCCUAAAAAAGACUUGAUGAGGUCGGGUGCUGCCGGUCACUAGGCUAAUCUUCCGCCUGCGGCACCAGCACCCCACAUUCUAGUCCCAGUUGGGGCGCUGGAUCCUGUCCCAGUUGCUCCUCUUCCAGUCCAGCUCUCUGCUGUGGCCCGGGAGGGCAGUGGAGGAUGGCCCAAGUGCUUGGGCCCUGCACCGCAUGGGAGACCAGGAGGAAGCACCUGGCUCCUGGCUUCGGGUCGGCGCAGUGCACCAGCCAUAACAGCCAUUUGGGGGGGUGAACCAACAAAAGGAAGACCUUUCUCUCUCUCCCUCUCUCUCUCUCUCUCUCUCUCACUGUCUAACUCUGCCUGCUUUAAAAAAAAAAAAAAAAGACUUGAUGAGAUUUUUAUUUUGUUUUCUUAAUAAAAUCCCAAACCUGGAAAUAAAA
This is a non-coding RNA of Oryctolagus cuniculus (rabbit), 25011 nucleotides long. Lineage: Eukaryota; Metazoa; Chordata; Mammalia; Lagomorpha; Leporidae. The record is from RefSeq and is a predicted model, not a curated record.